GUGAAACGGUGGGGUAAGAGCCCACCGCGCCCCUGGCAACAGGGGCGGCACGGCAAGCCCCACCGGGAGCAACGCCAAAUAGGGCCCCCGCGCGGGCAGGUCCCGGCAACGGGAUACCGCCGCUAGGCAUGCUUUAGCCAAGAGGGGCCGGGUUGGCAGCUAGAGGUACGCAGCAAUGCGUAUCGCAGAUGAAUGGCCGUCCAUGAGGCGCAAGUCUCGGGACAGAAUCCGGCUUACAGGCCCUC
Molecule: ribozyme, 245 nt
Filed under: Dolichomastix tenuilepis
Lineage: Eukaryota; Viridiplantae; Chlorophyta; Mamiellophyceae; Dolichomastigales; Dolichomastigaceae
Description: partial Bacterial RNase P class A
Rfam family: Bacterial RNase P class A
About the family: Ribonuclease P (RNase P) is a ubiquitous endoribonuclease, found in archaea, bacteria and eukarya as well as chloroplasts and mitochondria. Its best characterised activity is the generation of mature 5'-ends of tRNAs by cleaving the 5'-leader elements of precursor-tRNAs.
Source: RNAcentral